RNAcentral lists this non-coding RNA (798 nucleotides) under Paratrichobius longicrus. Lineage: Eukaryota; Metazoa; Arthropoda; Insecta; Diptera; Streblidae. The record is from RNAcentral.
UAAAAGUUUAAUUUUAGCUUAAAAAUUUAUUUUAGAUUUUAUUUAUAUGUGAAUUUUAGUGUGUAUUAUUUAAUAUUUUAAUAAUAUUAAAUUUAUUUUUAUAAUUAUAUUAUUAUUUAUAUACAAUAAUGAAAAUUAUUAAUUAAGGAAAUUUAGAAAUAGAAAUAUCUAUUAAGUAUUAACUAAAUUUGUGCCAGCAGUUGCGGUUAUACAAAUAAUACAAGUAAAUUUUUUUAGAAUUAAGUUAAUUAUAUUAAAUUGUAAAAUAAUUUAAAUUUAUUAGGUGAAAUUUUUAAAUUUUUAAAAAUUAUAUAGAAUGAAACUUGAAAAAUUUUUUUGUAAACUAGGAUUAGAUACCCUAUUAUUAAAAUUAUAAAUUUAAAAACUAAGGUAGUAAUAGAUAUGAUCUUGAAACUUAAAAAAUUUGGCGGUAUUUUAAACUAUCCAGAGGAACCUGUUCUAUAAUCGAUAAUCCACGAUGGACCUAACUUAAAUUUGUUAAUCAGUUUAUAUAUCGUUGUUAUAAAAAAUUUUUAAAGAAGUAUUAAUUUUUAAGAUUUUAUAUUUGAAAUUAUAUCAAAUCAAGGUGUAGCUAAUAUUUAAGUAGAAAUGGGUUACAAUAAAAUUAUUUAUGGAUAUAAUUAUGAAAAGAUUAUUAAAAUUGGAUUUGGAAGUAAAAUUAUAAAGAUUAAUAAUUUGACUAUAGCUCUAAAAUAUGUACAUAUCGCCCGUCACUCUUAUUAUUAAGAUAAGAUAAGUCGUAACAUAGUAGAUGUACUGGAAAGUGUAUCUAGAAUG